AUUUGUAAUUGGAGAGUUGACAUGUAUUUUGCUCUCUUCAGGUUGCAGGUGGUGAUGGAACCGCAGGGUGGCUUCUUGGAGUUGUUUCUGAUCUCAAGUUAUCUCAUCCACCAGCAAUUGCAACAGUGCCCUUAGGAACAUGAAACAAUCUUCCAUUUGCAUUUGGCUGGGGGAAGAAAAAUCCUGGGACAGAUGAAAAUGCGGUAAAGUCAUUUUUGCGUCAAGUAAUGGAUGCUAAGGAAAUGAAAAUCGACAGCUGGCAUAUUAUGA
This is a long non-coding RNA of Humulus lupulus (European hop), 270 nucleotides long. RefSeq lists it as uncharacterized. The record is from RefSeq and is a predicted model, not a curated record. NCBI's taxonomy places the organism in Eukaryota, Viridiplantae, Streptophyta, Magnoliopsida, Rosales, Cannabaceae. The transcript is spliced from 3 exons.